GCCAGGCAUGGUGGCACACGCCUGUACUCCCAGCUACUCAGGCGGCUGAGGUGGGAGGAUUGCUUGAGCCCAGGAGCUCUGGGCUGUAGUGAGCUCUGCGGAUCGGGUGUCCACACUAAGUUCUGCAUCAGUAUGGUGACCACCAGCUUCCCGAAGGAGGGGUGAACCGGCCCAGGUUGGAAACAGAGCAGGUCAAAACUCCAGUGCUGAUCAGUAGUGGGAUCAUGCCUGUGAACAGCCACUGCACUCCAGCCUGGGCAACACAGGAGAUCUCGUCUCAA
Unclassified non-coding RNA from Callithrix jacchus (white-tufted-ear marmoset), 281 nucleotides. It matches the Rfam family "Metazoan signal recognition particle RNA". Rfam says of the family: The signal recognition particle (SRP) is a universally conserved ribonucleoprotein. It is involved in the co-translational targeting of proteins to membranes. The eukaryotic SRP consists of a 300-nucleotide 7S RNA and six proteins: SRPs 72, 68, 54, 19, 14, and 9. The record is from Ensembl. NCBI's taxonomy places the organism in Eukaryota, Metazoa, Chordata, Mammalia, Primates, Cebidae.